UAAUGAAUAAAUGAAUAUCAGGAAAGCAGUGAUUGAAAAAACUUUUGAAAUACAAAUUAUGUUAUCUUUGAAUUUGGUUCCCAAUGUAGUAAUUAGAUUUAAUUUUGUCAUUGGACUGUUACAUACACUUUUAAAAUAUAGCUGUAAAUUAAAUGUGUCAAUAUUACAUAAGCAAUAUGAAAAAGAAGUGAAUAAAAUUACAAAAUUAUCAUAGCAGGUGCAUAUAACCAUAAUUCAUGUAAACAGUUCAGUCCCAUUUUUAACAAUGUUAACACUCUAGUGACAUCAAACCAACUGGUCUAUUUACAAACAUGUAAUAUGCAAAUAUAUUAGUAUAAACAAGGGCGACAUAAAAAAAAAGUACUACAGAAAGGUUUCACUUCAUUUCUAAGGAUCGGCGUUAAAACAGUUAAGAACCAUAUCUCAUAAACAGCAACAGUGAAACUAAUUAAAUCAAGCUUUGUCCUUUGUAUUGUUAACAACACAUCAAUAUCAAAUUCAAUGUUAGAACUGUUCUCAAGUUACACGUUACAAGGAAACGAAAUAAAGUGUCAUUUUGAAAAAUCAUGAAAUUGAGAACUACAAUAUAAAAAAGAUAACUAUAUAUAUAUUUUAGAGAUGAGACAUGAGCA
RNAcentral lists this long non-coding RNA (632 nucleotides) under Mytilus galloprovincialis (Mediterranean mussel). The record is from RNAcentral. Lineage: Eukaryota; Metazoa; Mollusca; Bivalvia; Mytilida; Mytilidae.